GGGUGAGUAACGCGUGAGAAUCUGGCUUUAGGUUCGGGACAACCACUGGAAACGGUGGCUAAUACCGGAUAUGCCUGAGGGUGAAAGGUUAACUGCCUGAAGAUGAGCUCGCGUCUGAUUAGCUAGUUGGUGGUGUAAGGGACUACCAAGGCGACGAUCAGUAGCUGGUUUGAGAGGAUGAUCAGCCACACUGGAACUGAGACACGGUCCAGACUCCUACGGGAGGCAGCAGUGGGGAAUUUUCCGCAAUGGGCGAAAGCCUGACGGAGCAAUACCGCGUGAGGGAGGAAGGCUCUUGGGUUGUAAACCUUUUUUUUCAGGGAAUAAGUACUGAAGGUACCUGAGGAAUCAGCAUCGGCUAACUCCGUGCCAGCAGCCGCGGUAAUACGGAGGAUGCAAGCGUUAUCCGGAAUGAUUGGGCGUAAAGCGUCCGUAGGUAGCAGUGUGUGUCUAUUGUUAAAGAGUUUGGCUUAACCAAAUAAAGGCGGUAGAAACUACACAGCUAGAGUGCGUUCGGGGCAGAGGGAAUUCCUGGUGUAGCGGUGAAAUGCGUAGAGAUCAGGAAGAACACCGGUGGCGAAAGCGCUCUGCUAGGC
Molecule: ribosomal RNA, 596 nt
Filed under: Fischerella sp. LMGG2
Lineage: Bacteria; Bacillati; Cyanobacteriota; Cyanophyceae; Nostocales; Hapalosiphonaceae
Description: bacterial SSU rRNA
Rfam family: Bacterial small subunit ribosomal RNA
Source: RNAcentral